CUUAAUAGAGCUAAAAUAUCAGAAAAUUACGAGAGAAAAAAAAAAGAAUUGAAAUUGUAAAAGGAAAAUUAUGUGCUCAUCAAUGUGAAGUUAUCUUUACCUAUGCGCGAAGGCAUAUGAAUUCAAUAAAAAAUAGCAUACAGUGAGUAAAAUUGCCUAAGUUCAAAAGAUAGAAGUUAAAAAGGUUAAUAUUGUAAGAAAAUUAAAAGUAUACAUAUGAGCAUUCUGCAAGCAUUAGUAAAUUUUUUCACCUCUCUUAAUUUAAAAAUCUAAAUUUUCGUUUAUAUUCCAUUCUCAAAAUUCUAUGUAAAGACGUUUAUAGCCUGUGACGCUGAAUGUCUCUAAAUACACUAACUAACUAACUAAAUAGGUAAGGAAGAAGAUUCUUUGAAGCUUAUUAUCAAGAAUGAAAUCAUUAUACAAUGAUCAAUUAUCAAUAAUCACUAUACAAGGGUGAGAUGAGAUAGACAGAUAAGAAACGUAAUCUCUUAUCAUCAUGAAUAAAUCCAUUUUUAUUUCUUGUAUGAUAAGGCUUCAACGCUUGCUCCUUUUUUUAAUCUCUAGGAACUUUUUCUCAAUCUCGCCGAGAGCCUUGGCUCGGCCAGAGCUUUCUCCUUGUUCUGGUUUUACAACUGCACUUUCUUAUGAAUUCUUGGACUUUUGGACCUUUGGACGUUUGGGGAGGGAAAAUGGGAAGGCCGCUGGAAUGUGCUUGCUCCAUUGCUCCAUAGUCUAUUGUUAUAACACGGUACUGUUGAAAUGGUUGGUGUUCCCGCAACUUCCGAUGGUGACUUUGAAUCUGUAAUGAGAGGAAAUUCAGGUAUGCUGGUAAAAGACGCCUUUAUAAAAUUUUCAAAACAUAGAUUGCAAGUAAUGCAGAAUAUUUUUGUUCGCAAAAAUAAGAAAAUCCCCUUUAGUUUGCUUCAUGGUGAUGCCAGGAUGUAUGACACUUCCGAAUGCUGAAACUUCUGAUCUGAUGAAUACAAAUAAUGAUGCAUAUCAGAUUAUUUAAAGAGGUCAGAGGCCUGGCUGGUGCAACCACAUUUGGAACGCGCUAAGCAGAAAGGAACCAAGCCGCAUCAGUUUUUGCCAAAUUAAACUGGGCAAUUCAAUUUUUUACGUGAUAACGGUUGUGCGGAUUUGUGUACAAUUUCAGUGAAUUUUCUGCGUAGCAUGAUGCAAAUUCCUUAAAAUUCUCAAAAAAAUCCGCACAAACGUUCUUUUGUGAAUAAUUUUUUUGUUUGUUUAUUUAUUAUUUAUUUUUUGGUGUAAUAGUGAUUUUAUCUUAUCAGAUAACAAAUUUGAGGCAUUACCAACAGUGGUUAUAUCCGAAAUUAAGAAGAAGAGUGCAAAAAAGAGACAUAAUAAUAUUUGUGCAAUGAGUAAAUAUUGUGUACGUGAGUGUUCUUCUUUCCUAAUUAAUUCUAAACUAAGCUAAUUUACUUUAUAUCUAAAAAUAUUUUCCCGAUUUAAAUUAAUUACUUAAUCUAAAUUGUAGGUAUUGCUGUCACUAUUCUUGGAACUGUCAAAUACACUACUUCGGGAGGUAAAUUUGGUGGUUGGGUCAUUUUUUCUUUUAAAAUCUUGCCUUUGUUAAUUAAGAUGUCCUUAAUAAAUUUAUAUGUACAAUUCCAAUUAUUCUUACUUUCUAGCAUGAUAUUUACAAUAUUUGCAGGGUCAAUUUUUGUCCUAAUGUCUUUUCUAACUCUAUUCUGUCUUUGUUCCAGGUAGAACACUCAAAAAAGGUGUGGCCAAGAGUAUCUACAACUCCGAUAUUGCAACAUGGGCACUCAGCGGAAUCGCGUAGAUGGAAUCUAUGGAGAUAUUGUGCAUAACAUCCACAUGUUCCGAUAGAAAUUGUGAUGCUCCCUGUAUGACCACUCUGCAACAUCCGAAAUUAAAAUUCUAGUCCAAUUACUUUGCAGGUUGUUAUUUAACAUUUUUCCCAUUAAAUUUAAUGUAUCCAUUCUAAGUCUUAGGAUCCUCCUCUUUGAGCAUCCUCCUUAAUUUUUCUUCAAAAAAGAGGUCAGCUGGUGGUAUUGCUGAUAUAAGAUCUAGAGAUAGAUCCGACACAGUUCUAUAAGCACAAAUUAAAGAAGUUUUAAUCGGUCUUAACGUUUGUCUAAGUUUAUUUACAUUCUUUUUGGACUUAAGAGCAGGAGCCCAGAUCUGAAUUCCGUAUAAUAUAAUGGACACAACCGUAUUAAAGAAAAGAAGUCUUUUGUAGAAAGAUGGACCAUUUACAUUCGGCAUUAUGCUUCUUAACAUAUUAGUGACUUUUUUAGCUUUCUCGCAAACCGAGGUAAUAUGUGUGCUUAUACCUAAGUUUUUUGCACGGUGUAUUCCAAGGUGUUUCAUUGAAGUAGAUUGGGUAAUUUCCUCUUUAUCUAUUUUAAUUUUUGCAUAUUUUCUAUCUUUCUUCUUCCCUGUAACAAUUUUUUUUUGGGGGGGGUGUGUCUUUAACCCCCACGAGUGUAUCAAAAUGAGCUCGCUCUAUUGUAUCGCUUCCGAUUUUGAAUCCUAACAUCCCAGCCGAUGCAAUUGAGUAACUAAUCAAUGAAAAAUAAUAAGUAAAGGAUGGAAAGCUACUUUAAAAGACACCUCAAUUACAAAGGCCGAGAAGUCAGGCAAAAUCUUCUGCUCUUCAAUUAUGCCGGACUGGUUCUACUAAAUUUGGAAAAAGGGUUCGCGGUUAACUCACCGGCUAACACUACUCACUCGUGAGGUUGACACUCCGGCACCGUCUUCUGACAUUACAUCGGAGGAGUUUUUACUCGGUACUUUUCUAAUUUCAAUUUUUCGUAAUCUUUGUUUUUACUAGUAAUUAUACUUUUUAUAUAAUAUUGUCCAAUGUUCCAUUUACUUUUAUCUUCAAGCAUUUUGUCUAAGAAAUUAUUUUUGUUUAUUUUCUCUUUAAAUUUCGUUUCAACUUCUUCUCGCUCUUUUAUGAAUCUAUUACAAUUAAAGAAGACGUGUUCCGGGGUGUCAACCGUGCCGCAAUUGAGGCACAGGGGAGAAUCAAUUAAUUUUCGAGUAAAGAGGUAUUUCCUGAACGAUCCAUGACCAGUGAGGUACUGGGUCAUAUAAAAAUCUGGGUCUCCAUGUUUGCGGUCUAACCAUUUGUCUAUGUCUCCAAUGGAGUCUUUGAACCAAAAUUUCCUGGUUCUUGUAACCAUUUUUCUUUCCAUUUCUUCCUUAUAUAAGCUUUCGUUUCUGCCUGAUCUUCUUUAUUAAAAUUUCUUAUUUUUUCUUUAACUUGUAAUUCUAUUGAUGGGAUUCCAGUUAAGAUAUCUAAUCUAAGGCAAAGUUCGAGACUGCGGUGUAUCCACAGCAUAGUGAGAUUUUCAAUGGUCUUAAGGUGGAAGUUAUUAGAUUUUUGGAUUUCUUAAAUUUAAUCGCAGUUUGCCAAAUAGUUACUCCGUAAAAAAGAAUUGCCAUAAUUGCAUGUAUUAGCAGUUUUCUUCGAAAAAAUCCUGGUCCUUUUAAGUUAGGUAGUAGGCUUCUAUAAUAUGCGGUUGUUUUUUUCAUUUUGUUACAGACUGCACUGAUAUGUGGACUCAUAUUCAUCUUUGGACCAAAUUUGAAGCCUAAGUAGUCUAAUGUAUUUUCAGGUACUAUUGUUGUUCGGUCAUUGAUUAUUUCUGUAUUUUCGUCGCAUCUGUUUGCGUUUACGAUGAGGGCCUCAGUAUUCUUAUCUUCAGUCUCAAGUUUCUUCUGUUUAAGUUUCUUUUUAAAUCUUUUUGUCAAUUUUUGUGUGUCUGUUUUAAGUUGUUUUUUAUCUGCUGAUUCUACUAUCAAUAAUGUGUCGUCCGCAUAUACGUUCUUAUUCCCUCUCACAUUCAUUUUCAUUCUUACUAUCUCGUCAUAGAUGAUUAGGAAGAUUAUCGGUCCCAAGACUGUGCCUGCCCAACUCCCGAGUUUAUUUUGAGUGUAUAUCCAGGAAUUUUCAGGCUUCUCUUUUCCAGGUAGUUUUUCAUUAUUUCAACCAAAUAGGGCGGAAUCCCUCUUUUCAAUAAAGUUCGGAUGAAGUCAGUCCAGGAUACAGAGUUAAAUGCGUUCCUUAUGUCCAUGGAGAUAGGGCACAUUAUUUCUCUUCUGGUUCCCUGUAACAAUUAUGCCCUCUGAUUUUUUAAUUUCUAAUAAAAGAUGUUUUUUCUCCAGUUCUGUCUUAAUUUUCUUCGUAAAAAAUAUUAAAUUGCCUGAUUAAAUUCGGCAAUAACUGGCUUGGUUCCUCCCUGCUGGACGCUGUGUUUUUCUAACUGGCGCCAAAAUCAGCCAGGAAUGAAGUUGCAAUCAUCAUACUUUUCCCGUGAAAGAACUAUUA
Molecule: long non-coding RNA, 4324 nt
Filed under: Bemisia tabaci
Lineage: Eukaryota; Metazoa; Arthropoda; Insecta; Hemiptera; Aleyrodidae
Description: lncRNA ENSSSA2NGG011521
Source: RNAcentral